Molecule: ribosomal RNA, 3488 nt
Filed under: Triticum aestivum (bread wheat)
Lineage: Eukaryota; Viridiplantae; Streptophyta; Magnoliopsida; Poales; Poaceae
Description: partial small subunit ribosomal RNA
Source: RNAcentral
UUCCUGAAGGCAGGCGAGGAGGAGUAGGUACGGGCGUGUGGUCAGCAAGGGGUGUCGUGCCCGCCCGGCGGGUAGGAGGGCGGCGGAGGGCGGCAAGCGGCGAGCGUAGGAGGAGGAGAGCCGAACCAGAGGGGGUAGGAGGGCAGCAAGCGAUCGGCGGGAGGGCGGUAUACGGCAAGCGAUCUCUACGCCCGCCUGCCAACCCGACCGCUCGCCACCGUCCAAGCAGCGCGCUGUCCAGCGGACCCUACGAUCGGCACCUACGCCCAGUUCGGCUGAGCCCGCCGCCGCGUAGAAGCCCUCUCCUCUCCCCUUUUCUUCCUCUCAGGACCCCCGCCGACUCCUCCACGAGCGGCCGCUCGCCCGAGGCUGCCGGCGGACCGCGCGCCCCAACCUACCCCCGCAAAGGGCCGUCAGCGCCGGCAGGAGCGCUGUGGUUGAUCGGCUUUCGUAGCGGCGAGGGGCGGCGGGCGGCUGCGCUGCAGCGGACGGGGAGGAUGGGUGCGCUGUUACAGCGAGGAGCCGAGGAGGGGCGCGCUGUGGCGGAAGGGGUUCUCGCGGGUGGGGCAGCAGGAGGAUGAGGAGUCACGGAGGAAGAGCGGGCGGGCGUUGCGGAACGGAACGUCGCACCGGACUGUGUGCGUGCCGGGUGUGACCUCGUGCGGCGGGGAGCGACGGGCCAAAAAGAAGAAAAGGCAGCGUGACACGCUUUAGACGGGGUACGAGCCAGACCUAGAUUUAUUCGCCAACUCUCUCUCUCUCUCUCUCGUGUCGCUUCUGCGUGUGUGACACCUAACACCUUCUCCUUCUCCUGUACGACAACCUAGGCUCGUGGACAGCCUCCUCGUAUCCGUAUUCCUCCGUAGGUACUCUGUUCAAAAAAAAUUAAGCAUAAAGAUACAGACGUACUACUGUAAUCAAUUGACCAUUAUCAUUCAGUGACGGUAUGUAGUGACUACUUUGUCAACAAAAAAGGGUAAAUCGUUUCUUUAAUACUAGACAAGGAGAUGGUUAUUAACAUUUAAUCAGUACUGUGGGUUAGAUCGUGGACAGUACAACAAACUAAACAGAGAGAUAUAUAUACAAGAGUACUCACCAGUAUCAAAAUGUACUGCUAAAGGUCUUAUACUUAUGUAACUUUCAAUUAAACUAAAAGUAUUUACACAGGUUAAAACCAACAUAUUUAGUUAAAAAUUAAACCGUAGGGUAAGGUACGGUUCUUAGUUUACUGUUCGACUUAAACAAGGAUACAUUGCCCCAAGUCAUCGAAGGGAGAGGACUUAAUAAGAACAACAUUAAAGUACCAAUACGUUAAUAGUUAGAAGAGAAUGAGUAAAGUGCACAGGUAUCAAUCGGUCCGUUGACUUCCACCCAGUACAUAAAAUCGUGUCCAAGCUACACCGCCAACAAUUGAAUAAGGUUGACACUUUUUACCAUCAACAACGGCCUACUUAAAGACCAGAGCGUGGAGGAAUAAAGACCAGAACGUGGUACCUGCCGGACUUGCCGCGACUGCGCACGAAGAGGCCUCCUCCCGGUACACUGCCGGUCUGGCCGUCUGUAUCGGUCCUAUACACCAUGUUCCCUAAGCUCCGUUUAACUCCUUCCUCGACCUCGUCCACCACCUAAUUCCUUUCUCGACCUCGUCUCUGCCUAAUCUCGACGAAUUCACGUCUAAAAAUCUGAUCGGACGAACUCAUGUACAAGAAUCUAACGUAUACCUUCCCUUGAAUGCACGUACAACAAACCUAACGUCCUACCUUCCCUUGAAUUCACGUACAAAAGCCUAACAUGUACUUGAUUCAAGGACGACUUUUUACCACUGACGUAAAUCUCGACCGUAACCACGAACCAGUCUGUACCACAGAAACAUUGAUGUGAUUCAAGGGACCAAGAACGAAUUUUUACAAAUGUUCUAUUGUAAAGAUUUGUACUAGAUCUUCGGGAGUUUGGUCUAGUUCGAGCCAUGUAACCUUAUUUUUCUUACUGUUCCGUCAAUCUUCAAGUCUUAAGAUAUAUCCUAUAUAUAUGAACCAACAUGGUAUAAAUCGACUUGAUUUCAUCUACGAGAUUGACACAAGUGUACUAAAACUUGUCCGGGUACCUCUCUUCGGGAUUACAUGUGGGUUCCAAGUCCCUCCACUAGGUCCAAAAGUUCUUCCAAUCUUCCUCCCACUCACCUAAUCAGCGGCUAAUCACGGAAGUAACAACAACUUAUUUGACCGAAGUCGAGACUACGUACACUUGACACUCCACAAAAACCAUACCCUUACUACUCCAAGACUACCAGAUAUGGACUAACGUUCCAAACCCAUACUUAAUUUAAACGCAGGUUUGAACCGUUAAUAGAAGAUACUUAAAUCCGUAACAAGUGUACAGUAAACUCAGUUUGUCUUUAUACGAAGACUUUACGAGGUUAAACGACGAAAAGUGUAAAUCUCUUCCAACAAAAUAAAGCAUAAGUAGUCCAAUACGAUUUCGUCUUCCGUAACACGACUGUAAAAAAUUCGGAAUGAACUAAAACUAUACACCAAUCGGCAAACGGGAACGUGGUUUUUGUUUGUGAUAAGGAUACAGAAUGAAUCUUCGUUUCCACGUAAUUAAUAAUUGACCAAACUAUAUACAAGGUACCACCCACCGUAUCUUUUGUUUCGAAGAAAGAUUCUGUACUACAAGACAAUGAUCGUUUUUUCACAAUCUUAAAUAUUCAUGAAUAAGUUUCUUUUAUUUUUGACUGACCUCUUGACAAACGAAGAUGGUAAGGAAAGUUCAAUUCCGUUUUUAGUAUAACCGUACAUCGAACACGAGGACGUCUCAAGAAAAACAAAACUAAAAAACAUUACAAUUUCCGUAUAGCUUAUUACUUUAACGUUAUCAAUACUAGGGAUCCGGGCUGUUUUUUGACUGCUCUCAUAAUCCACCACCGUCCAUAGUCCGAUGUUGUCGACUUAACGUUCAGAAGACUACUCGAAAACGCCGUUCCUCCUCGUUAGAAUGUCACGUUUUUACUUCUUCCCCGUUAAGGAGAAGUACCACGAACACGAACCCCCAUACGUAAAAAAUAAACGUAACUUGAAUAUGAAGAAACGGGGUUCCUCUUCCAAAGUACGGGGUUCUUCAUCUUAUGUAUGUCUAUCCGUGGGUAGCCCUAGUUCUUUGGUUUCAGACCCGGGACAAUUGAUGAGGGAGGCAAGGUUUUAUCUACUGGGUUGAAACAUGAUUUCAAUUAUGUUUCAACUCAGCAGAUAAAACCUUACCUCCCUCAUGUUUCGUUCAGCUACGGUCGUAUGUAUACUCUUUGACUACCCGGACAGUCUCGCUUGGGGACCAACUUUAAACAGUUUUCUGACCCGCCAUUUGACUCACCAUCAGAAUCAUAGAAUUAUGUGUUGAACGCAUGAUACCCUUAACACAAAUACAACAAUACCCUAAUACCUCAAUACUAGAUUUUUUUAAUACCUCAAUACUAGAUUUUUUCUUGAUACCUC